Molecule: long non-coding RNA, 880 nt
Organism: Clupea harengus (Atlantic herring)
Lineage: Eukaryota; Metazoa; Chordata; Actinopteri; Clupeiformes; Clupeidae
Source: Ensembl
GUGAGGUGUGUGUGUAGUCUUAGUGAGGUGUGUGUGAGGUGUGUAGGUGUGUGUAGUCUUAGUGAGGUGUGUGUAGUCUUAGUGAGGUGUGUGUGUGUGUGUGUGUGUGUAGUCUUAGUGAGGUGUGUGUGAGGUGUGUGUGUGUGUGUGUAGGUCUUAGUGAGGUGUGUGUGUGUGUGUGUGUGUGUGUGUGUGAGGCCUUAGUGAGGUCUUAGUGAGGUGUGUGUGUAGUCUUAGUGAGGUGUGUGUAGUCUUAGUGAGGUGUGUGUGAGGUCUUAGUGAGGUGUGUGUGUGUGUGUGUGUGUAGGUGUGUGUAGUCUUAGUGAGGUGUGUGUGUGUAGUCUUAGUGAGGUGUGUGUGUGGUCUUAGUGAGGUGUGUGUAGUCUUAGUGAGGUGUGUGUGUGGUCUUAGUGAGGUGUGUGUGUGUAGUCUUAGUGAGGUGUGUGUGUAGUCUUAGUGAGGUCUUAGUGAGGUGUGUGUAGUCUUAGUGAGGUGUGUGUGUGUGUGUGUGUAGUCUUAGUGAGGUGUGUGUGUGUGUGUGUGUAGUCUUAGUGAGGUGUGUGUGUAGUCUUAGUGAGGUCUUAGUGAGGUGUGUGGUCUUAGUGAGGUGUGUGUAGUCUUAGUGAGGUGUGUGUGUGUAGUCUUAGUGAGGUGUGUGUAGUCUUAGUGAGGUGUGUGAGGUGUGUGUAGUAUUAGUGAGGUGUGUGUAGUCUUAGUGAGGUGUGUGUAGUCUUAGUGAGGUGUGUGUGUAGUCUUAGAGAAAUCUACAAGUCAACAAGUCUACAAGUCAGUAUUAGCCAGUACACGAGCGGUCAGUAUUGGCCAGCACACGAGCGGUCAGUAUUGGCCAGCACACGAGCGGUCAGCACACGAGCGGUCA